AUGCAGCGUGAAGGUAGCAAGCUCUGCUCUGGAAGAAGGGGAGGCGUCUGCCCCAUUUCUGGAGCGGACCGUGAUUGCUGUCACAUCUACAAGGUUCAGGGGACGUGGUAUUCUGUCCGCACCUCGCGGCUGGCAGUGCCAGCAGCUCUGAGAGACACUCAGCCUGGCCGUCACGGUUGUCACAGGGUCCCCCUCCGCGCACGCACCCCCAGAAAUGAUAGCCAUUUAGACGGUAAUGGGCACGAGGGAGGAAAGCGGGAGCGCAGCACCUCAAGCCUUUGGGCUCCCGUGAGAGCCACGCAUGUUCCGACUGAGGCAGUGUGUCUCCUCAGUCUUAGCUCUCGAGGGUCCUCCAGGGACCCUGGACUCUGGUCCUGCCGCUUCCCUGAGGUAGCCGGAGGAAUGUGUGAUAUCUUAAAUAUGUUACCACUGCACGUUGAAGAGAUCAAAUUUCCACACAUUACAGACGGACUGGAGCACAGCUCCGGGGGAUUGGAGGAGGCAGGCGUCUCUCUCACACGAUUCCAUGUUCCUGGAGAAUUAAUCUGAUUAUGACUACCUUCAAUGUGGCUUUAUUGAGAGUCUCGUGUGGCAUGAACAUUUCAUAUUUAACCAGGGAGAAGCGCCCUGAAAACUUGAGAUGAAGGUAAAUCAGUUUAUUUUCAAAGAACUAAAGCAGAAACUGCCACAAGGAAAGUUUUAUGUACAUGUUAAUGGCUGUAAACGUAUGACCAACAUUUGGAAACAUCAAACCCCAGGGCGACCUGGAUGCUGUCUGGGGGCGCCUCCGUGGACUGAUGGUGGGUGGAACUGAGUUGAUUUUGCUGUAUCCGCCCAGAGGAAGACUGCAGUAGAAUGCGGGUGUGAGUGGGCACACACAGGAGCCAGGGCUCUGCAGAUGUGAAAGUCAUUGGGGUUUCUUUCUUCAGCGCUAUGCUGCUGUAGUUACAUCUUACUGUACUGAGUGCUAAUUGGACACUGGUGAUGUACCAGACACUGCCUCUCUCUGGAUUGAAGUGAUCUCCAUGAUAAAAGUGGGGACACGGAGCUCCAGACUGUGUCAUCACGCAGGUUUUAUGUGAUGCAGCUAGGGUUCAAACUCCAGUGUCCUGACAAAGGGGCCCCGCCUCCAUCACUCUGGGAGGCUGCUUGCCUGGAAUACCCUCUAAGGUGAUUUCUAAACUUGUGUCUUGGCUGUGUUUGCUACAAAGACUCACUGCAGUGCCUCGGUUGGUCUGGAACUCUUGAACUCAAGUGAUCCUCCACUCUCAGCCCCUCGAGUAGCUGAGACGACAGGCAUUAUUUGCUGCUUAAAAACAAUUCUUUUUAACUUUUCCAUAUUCUGAUUCUUUGCUCAACAAAUACAAUUUAAAUAUUAGUUUGGUUCCCAACUCGUUCUGAUUCCGGAAAGGAGUCAUUUUAUUACAAAUGCAGUGGCAUUUAGGCUUCUAUGCAUUUAGAAAAAGUGAAUCACAGAAUACAGACUUUGCCCCUGCUUGCUCACGAUCAUUUGAAGAGCUACUCAAAAGUGCAUUCCAGAAGGGGUGCCAAUUUAUGAACUCUUACUGCUCUCAAAGGGGAUAAGUACGGUGAUUGAGAGCAAGCUCUAAAAAGCUUGUACAACAGUUUUUUAUGGUUUAUUUUUUUCUCAGUGCUGGGGAUUAAACAGUGGCACUUCCACAGAGCUGCAGCUUCAGCGACUCCCCCAUCCGCUUUUUACUAUGUCGCCCAAGCUGGUCUCAAGCUUGGGAUCCUCCUGCCUCAGCCUCCUGUGUAGCUGGGAUUUUGGGCAUGCACCACAUUGUUCAGUUUAUGUAGCAAUUUGAUAGGACAAACCUGUAUCCGUUGAACUUAAUUUUUUCUUUACACUUUUCUAGUAAUUCAUUCUUACUGAGAAGCACAGCCGCAAAGGUUGGAAACCAUGGAAAGCAGACGUGGUAUAAAUAGCAUUACAACGGCCCCAUCCUUAGUCUUUCAUAAGUGAGGCCACCAUACGACAUUUUCCAGUAUUGUGUAUUCCUAGUCUGCCAUGCUUUGGUUUCUUUGGUCAGGAAAGUAUACCGCUCACCUCAGCUCCCUUCCACCAGCUUUGAGGAAGAGCUAUGAUUGUGGUCUCACCAGUACAUGGACAUGUUUUUGUUCAAAUCCCGAUGUGUACCUGUCAGAUUUUAUUGCAGUCCACAAUGGCUUGUCUACCUCUGCCUUCCUUCCCUCUGUUUUAAAGGAUUGUUUUCUAUUCUUUCUCUGCCACUCUCUCAGUGUAUAAUUCCACCGUCACUUAUAGGGCUUUUCUGGCCUUAGCUUUCAAAUAUUCAACGGUGACUCUAAAAUGUGCUUCUGUCUGCUGGCUCUUGUGUCCCACUCUACAGAGGAGGGUGUAGUUUUUUUUUUUUUUUUUUUUUUUGACUCACUUUUUCCUACUUGGCCCAAGCUCUCUCUGAAGAACCUGUUUUUCCUCCCCCCCUACUUUGUUUGUUUGUUUGUUUGUUUGUUUUUGUUUUUGAGACAGGGUCUCACUAUGUAGUUGACAAUGACCUGGAACUUACUGUGUAGCCCAGGCUGGUCUCGAACUUGCAGCCAUCCUCCUGCCUCAGCCUCCGAGUGCUGGGAUUACAGGCAUGCACUACCAUGCCUGGCUUCCCCUACCUUUAAUAAAUGUGAAACUGCCACCAUUAAUGAAUAAAUAACCAAGUAAAAUGUGCUUCCAGUAAAAACUUCUCUCCUGAGCUUCAGAUAUAUAUAUUUCCAUAGGAUGAAUUCCAGGUACCUUACAUUAACAUGGCCAAACCUGAGAUGAUAAACUCUGUCCUGAUGUCAGUGCCUCAAACCUUCUGCCCCUGGGUGUUCAAGCCGGAAAUCUGAUAGUUAUGCCAGAGUCCUGUUCUUGGCCUGAGAAGAGACAAGUAUAGAAACAGCAAGUCUUCUCUUUUAUCUGAUUGGCCACCAUAUUCUACCAAGUCUAACUAUAACAUAUCUCAGAAAUUUCUGAUUUUUACUUUCAGAGCCUUAAUUCCUUCUUUACACUUUCCCUUCCUCCUUCAGUGGUAUUUACUGAGAUGUAUUGCAAUAGCUUGAUUAAAUGACUUGUAGUCUUAGUCAUGUGUUUGGCACAUGUCUAUGAUCCCAGAAGUCAGGAGGCUGAAACAGGAGAAUCACUGAGACUUUGAGGCCAGCCUGUGCUAGUUAGUUCAAGACCAGCCUUAACUACACAGUGAG
Molecule: long non-coding RNA, 3216 nt
Organism: Fukomys damarensis (Damara mole-rat)
Lineage: Eukaryota; Metazoa; Chordata; Mammalia; Rodentia; Bathyergidae
Source: Ensembl